ACAAGAGCCGAAAGCUACUUAAAACCAUCGCGAACUUGUCCAAGUUGUUUCGGCGGCGCGGGACCCCUUGGGGGACCGCAGCGCCGCUUCCCCCCCCGGGGGUUGCGGGGCGCCCGCCGGAGGUCACAAACUCUCAUGUAUUAUAGUGGAUCUCUGAGUAAAAAACAAAUAAGUUAAAACUUUCAACAACGGAUCUCUUGGUUCUGGCAUCGAUGAAGAACGCAGCGAAAUGCGAUAAGUAAUGUGAAUUGCAGAAUUCAGUGAAUCAUCGAAUCUUUGAACGCACAUUGCGCCCGCUAGUACUCUAGCGGGCAUGCCUGUUCGAGCGUCAUUUCAACCCUCAAGCCCUGCUUGGUGUUGGGGCCCUACGGCUGCCGUAGGCCCUGAAAGGAAGUGGCGGGCUCGCUACAACUCCGAGCGUAGUAAUUCAUUAUCUCGCUUAGGGUGUUGUGCGGUGCUCAGCCCGUUAAAGACCAUCUUUAACUCAAGGUUGAC
This 495-nucleotide ribosomal RNA is filed under the name Aureobasidium pullulans. RNAcentral describes it as "eukaryotic LSU rRNA". The stretch from base 178 to 331 matches the Rfam family "5.8S ribosomal RNA". Lineage: Eukaryota; Fungi; Ascomycota; Dothideomycetes; Dothideales; Saccotheciaceae. The record is from RNAcentral.